Molecule: long non-coding RNA, 747 nt
Organism: Nicotiana tabacum (common tobacco)
Lineage: Eukaryota; Viridiplantae; Streptophyta; Magnoliopsida; Solanales; Solanaceae
Source: RefSeq, a predicted model, not a curated record
CCUUCCUGAUAUUCUUCAUCUAGAAUUCUCUAUUUCUCUAUAGCUCAGUUCUCCAACUAGCUUUCUUUCACUUUUUUAGUUUGUCCAGUGGUCUAUCAUUUGAGCUUCUAUCUUUUUCUUAUUUUUGUUAUACCAAUGCGGUAUCCCGGUGGUUAAUCUCUUCUUACCCAUAGUUGAAGACAGAGAUGAGUAAACGAGAUUGUGCUCUUGAUAUAGGCGGUUUAAUGAAUUGAGAUGAAAUCAGAUUUCGAAUGCAACUGUAUUUCACAAUUUGGGAUAAAGUUGUGUGCUACUGUAAUAUCUGUGCCGAUCAAAGAAAACGCUCACAUGAUUCUUGCCGGAUAGAGCACUCUUGGAGCUUUCAAACUUCUGAAUUGGAAUAUUGAGGUGUGCAAUGAUGGAAAUGCGUGCCUGGUCUAUAUGAACUAAAAAUCCCAGGUUGUGCUUGAUACUUCACUUCAAAGAUUGGUAGCUCAACUGAGUUGUUUUUAAGAAAAAACUUUGAGAUGCUUGAGUGAAGAAAAUUUAAUCAGAUGAAGUUUAGGGUGACAUAAGAGACGCAAUGUGACGUUUUUCAUUAGUUAAACGAUUUUGGUUGCAAACACUUGUUCCUUUUACGGAAAGUGAAUGCUAUAGCUUUUCACAUUUUUGUCUCUGCACAAAUAGAACGAUCUUUUGUAUUUCUACGGCACAAGAUGAUGUGAUAUAUUUAUCUUAACUUAGAAAUUAUUAUUAUUAUUAUUAUUA